AUGGUAUCAGAGCUAGGUUUCCAAGAGGUGGUGGCCGCAGCGGCUGUGGAGGAGUGCUGCUCCAUGAUGGCUGGAGCUGGUGAGGCUGGCCAGACGGCCGAUUCGAAGGCUGGGAAGAAGAGGAUUUGCAGCCGGAAGACUGCUCACGGGGGUGUGAGAAGUGCAGCAGCCUGGAGGGCUCUGUUCUUGUGUUCAGCAGAGAUGAGUCCUGAGGAGGCUGAAGCUGCAAGGAAAGCAUCACAAGAUAAGCUGGAGAAGGAGGCUCAGGGAAAAUCCACACUCUUUACGAAAGGUGAUAUGAGAAGUUUGCUGCAGGAUCCUAUGGCAAUGGGGAUAAUGGGAUCAAAAGCUUCAGUGGGAACUCCCGAGUUGAAGUUGGAGCUGAUGCCGAAUGAAUUGAAGUUAGAAGGGAGCAAGAACUAUCUGAGCUGGUCAAGGAAGGCGAAGUUGAUCUUGAGGACAAAGGGUGUAGAGCACUGUGUGCAGGAAACAUUCAUAGAACCUGCAGAUAGAACAAGUGUUGAUUGGCGAGUAUGCACCACCAACUCUGUGGUUGCAGCAUGGUUGAUGAAUUUCGUCUCUCCAUUGAUUGCUAGGAUGAUUGAAGCAAUUGCAAGCGCAGCAGCAAUUUGGAAAACGUUGAGCAAUAUGUACUCUGGGGCUGGCAAUGUGAUGAUGAUGGUGGAGGUCCAGAGUAAGGUGGAUGAACUCAAGCAAGGGGAGAAAACUGUCCAAGAGUACGCCAGUGAGCUGCAGCAACUAUGGUCUGAUUUGGACCACUAUGAUCCAUUGCAAUUGACAUGUUCUAGUGAUACUGAGGCUGAUGAGGCUUGGCAGCAACGUAGAAGGGUUACACACUUCUUAAAGGGGCUGAAACAGAGUUUGAGCCAAGGAGGGCUGCCAUGUUUCACCAGACAACAUUGCCUACUAUGGAAGAGGCAAUUUCAGCAAUGGUCCAGGAGGAGAUUCGCUUGCGGGACAGGACAUCUGAGCUAUGAGUGUUAUGCUCCACCAUCUGGAGGACGCGGACGCGCGACCCGUGGUGGUGGCCGAGGAGGCCGAGGUGAGGGCCGUGGAGGACGAGGUGGUGAUCGUGGGGGCCGUGGUGGACGUGGCAGAGGUUGUGUCAGCACAGAGCCUAUGCUGCUGCAGAGGAAACAUCACACAUCGUGCUUACAGGUGAGAAAGCACCACAAUGGGAGAAAUGCCAGAAGAGCCAUACAUCAGAAAGUUCACAGGGAUCUGGCACGAUACCUCAGGUGGAUCACUUUGGUAAUUAUGCCAACUAUGCCCAAGUGGGCAAAGGUUGGGCAAAGGCAGGCGGCGGCUGCAGGACGUGGCGGGCGGCGGCGGCGGCUGCUGCAGGACGAGGCAGGCGGCGGCUGCGGCAACCGGGCGCGGCAGGGCGAGGAGGGAGUGGCAGCGGCCGGAUGGGCACGCGGCGGCGGCUGCGGGACGAGGAGGAGAUGGCCAGGCAGGACCGGACGAAUCCAGGUAGUGGAACCAAGCAGAUCCGGGCAGGGACUGCCAGCGACGGGCGGAUCUGGUUACGGGCGAAGUAGGCACGGAGUUGCAUCGUGCGAGGGAGAGGCUAACCUCGCACCUGAUACCAUGUUGGAUAAUAAGCAACUAACUUUCACAGGGGGGCAAAGGCCAAUACAUGUACAUUUUUUGGGUGAAUUCUCCCCUGUCAUUGAGGGUGAUGACAUUAAGAGUGGUGACAGGAGGGAGGGGGGGAGUGGAGGCACUAUGGAAGAAGAAGCAAUUGUUGGAGGCACUAUGGGAGAGGAAGGAGUUGUGGGAACCAUUCCCUGCCCUAUGGUGAUUUCUUCUCCUGAGAGACCGGUUGCAACCAAGGAGUUGCAGGUGUAUGAGAGAAGGCAUUUUCACAAUAAGGGGAAGCAAACAAUAGGUGCAACCAAGGAGUUGCAGUCUGAACCCCUAGAGCAGCCACAGUGCCAGGAUGAUAUUCAUGUUCCAGGCCUCUCACCAUCAAGAUCCUCAUCGUCAUCAGAGAUAGGUGAUGAUGCUUCUCCCUCUUCAUUGCAUUUGGAAUUACCUAUUGCCCAACGCAGAGCAAUUAGAUUAAUGCUGGAAAGCCCCCAGAUUGGUAUGGUUUUGAACAUGACAUUGCCAAUUUUGUGUCAUACUCAAGCCUUUCACCUGCAUACAAAGCAUUCAUUUCAUCUCUUCAAUCUGUAUCCAUUCCAAAUGAUUGGAGAACAGCAAAGCAGGAUCCCAGGUGGACGGAGGAGCUUAGUGCACUCCAAAAGAACAAGACAUGGGAUCUUGUGCUACUCCCACCCGGAAAAAGGGUAG
This 2319-nucleotide ribosomal RNA is filed under the name Triticum aestivum (bread wheat). RNAcentral describes it as "partial small subunit ribosomal RNA". The record is from RNAcentral. Lineage: Eukaryota; Viridiplantae; Streptophyta; Magnoliopsida; Poales; Poaceae.